GGGAGCUUGCUCCCUGAUGUUAGCGGCGGACGGGUGAGUAACACGUGGGUAACCUGCCUGUAAGACUGGGAUAACUCCGGGAAACCGGGGCUAAUACCGGAUGGUUGUUUGAACCGCAUGGUUAAACAUAAAAGGUGGCUUCGGCUACCACUUACAGAUGGACCCGCGGCGCAUUAGCUAGUUGGUGAGGUAACGGCUCACCAAGGCAACGAUGCGUAGCCGACCUGAGAGGGUGAUCGGCCACACUGGGACUGAGACACGGCCCAGACUCCUACGGGAGGCAGCAGUAGGGAAUCUUCCGCAAUGGACGAAAGUCUGACGGAGCAACGCCGCGUGAGUGAUGAAGGUUUUCGGAUCGUAAAGCUCUGUUGUUAGGGAAGAACAAGUACCGUUCGAAUAGGGCGGUACCUUGACGGUACCUAACC
This 425-nucleotide ribosomal RNA is filed under the name Bacillus subtilis. Its description in RNAcentral is "bacterial SSU rRNA". It matches the Rfam family "Bacterial small subunit ribosomal RNA", at positions 74 to 484 of the family's 1533-position model. The record is from RNAcentral. Lineage: Bacteria; Bacillati; Bacillota; Bacilli; Caryophanales; Bacillaceae.